CAAGGAAAUGAAUGAGGUGGAGACGGGUGUUUUUACCAGGGCUGGUGAUAAUAUUGUAAAAUCUGAUUGUGGCAUAGAUCUUGAAGGAACCAAUAAGUCUUCAUCCUUAUGGAAAAUUAGAAACACUUUGGAUCAGCAGUAUGAAGUAGACACCGAGUUAAGACAACUGAGCAUCCUAACACUGGACUCGUGGCUUAAAAUGGUAUG
Molecule: unclassified non-coding RNA, 207 nt
Filed under: Hevea brasiliensis (rubber tree)
Lineage: Eukaryota; Viridiplantae; Streptophyta; Magnoliopsida; Malpighiales; Euphorbiaceae
Source: RNAcentral